Molecule: unclassified non-coding RNA, 219 nt
Filed under: uncultured Tomentella
Lineage: Eukaryota; Fungi; Basidiomycota; Agaricomycetes; Thelephorales; Thelephoraceae
Description: sequence contains ITS2
Source: RNAcentral
ACACCUCAACUCCUCAUGGCUUGCCAUGAUGAGCUUGGACUUUGGGGGUCUUGCUGGCCUGCGGUCGGCUCCUCUCGAAUGAAUCAGCUUGCCAGUGUCUGGUGGCAUCACGGGUGUGAUAACUAUCUAUGCCUGUGGUUUUCUGCUAGGUAACCUUCAGCGAUGAAGGUUCGCUGGGGCUCAUAAACGUCUCUCCUCAGCGAGGACAGCUCUUUGAAC